UACGUAGGGUGCGAGCGUUAAUCGGAAUUACUGGGCGUAAAGCGUGCGCAGGCGGUUCGUUAAGUUCGUUGUGAAAGCCCCGGGCUCAACCUGGGAACUGCAAUGGAAACUGGCGGGCUUGAAUGCGGCAGAGGGGGGUGGAAUUCCGCGUGUAGCAGUGAAAUGCGUAGAGAUGUGGAGGAAUACCGAUGGCGAAGGCAGCCCCCUGGGAUGACACUGACGCUCAUGCACGAAAGCGUGGGGAGCAAACAGG
This 253-nucleotide ribosomal RNA is filed under the name uncultured bacterium. RNAcentral describes it as "partial 16S ribosomal RNA". It matches the Rfam family "Bacterial small subunit ribosomal RNA", at positions 524 to 776 of the family's 1533-position model. The record is from RNAcentral.